This is a long non-coding RNA of Ornithorhynchus anatinus (platypus), 418 nucleotides long. RefSeq lists it as uncharacterized. The record is from RefSeq and is a predicted model, not a curated record. NCBI's taxonomy places the organism in Eukaryota, Metazoa, Chordata, Mammalia, Monotremata, Ornithorhynchidae. The transcript is spliced from 3 exons.
GUAACAACCACCCAUCUAACUCCCGGAUGCAUUUUGGGCUGGAUACACUGGAUCUAGUUCAGCAUGACUGACCCUGAGGAAUAUCCUUGGACCAUGACUGACUGCUUGGCUGGCUGAGAGGGUGAAUAACUAUAUUGAAAAAAAGGGUAUUCAGAGAGAAUUGCUAAAUUUAGAGAUUAUUCUGAGAACGUGAGAGUGGAUGUGAUUGGAAAAGCCAUCUUUCUCCAGGGAAAAGCUUCACGAUGAGUUGUAAGGAAUAAAACAGAGACAGUUGCUGAAUGGAGAAGAUACUUGAAGGAAAAUACACACACACGCACACACACACACACACACAAAUACAUACUCCUGAAAAGACUACAUCUGGAUGGAAAGGAUUUUUAUUUCUUUCCCUGACUGGGCAACCAAAUACAUUGACAUA